CGCGUCCGCGGAGGUGACGACCGCAGCCACCUCUGGGGCCGCGGGCGUCAAUCUUUCCUGAGCCUUCCCCCAGCCCACCCACCUCAGAUCCCCGAAGUCUGCAACACCAGCCCAGGCUGGAAAGUCAAGGGGCGUCGGCGUCCCGCCAGCGCGCAUUCCCUUCACCUGUGCAGGGUGAGGAUGACUGUUUGAGCAGACAGGGAACUGAGGCGUGAAGAAGCACCUUCGAAGUCCAAGGAUACAAACUGAAGCAGGAUCCUAACACAGACCCAGGACAACAGCAGAGGAGAUAAUGGCCCAUAACUGCAUUGGUAAUGCAAAUAUGAUGUUUCUCCAGGGCUCCGUUAGCUUAGACAGACAGAGGCACAGAG
This is a long non-coding RNA of Ailuropoda melanoleuca (giant panda), 371 nucleotides long. RefSeq lists it as uncharacterized. The transcript is spliced from 3 exons. The record is from RefSeq and is a predicted model, not a curated record. NCBI's taxonomy places the organism in Eukaryota, Metazoa, Chordata, Mammalia, Carnivora, Ursidae.